CCUACGGGAGGCAGCAGUGAGGAAUAUUGGUCAAUGGGCGCGAGCCUGAACCAGCCAAGUCGCGUGAGGGAAGACGGCCCUACGGGUUGUAAACCUCUUUUGCCGGGGAGCAACGGGCGCCACGUGUGGCGCCACUGAGAGUACCCGGAGAAAAAGCAUCGGCUACCUCCGUGCCAGCAGCCGCGGUAUUACGGGGGAUGCGAGCGUUAUCCGGAUUUGUUGGGUUUAAAGGGUGCGUAGGCGGUGCGUUAAGUAAGUGGUCAACUUGAGGGGCUCAACCCCUUCCCGCCAUUGAAACUGGCGCUCUUGAGUGGAAGAGAAGUAUGCGGAAUGCGUGGUGUAGCGGUGAAAUGCAUAGAUAUCACGCAGAACCCCGAUUGCGAAGGCAGCAUGCCGGCUUCCGACUGACGCUGAAGCACGAAAGCGUGGGGAUCGAACAGGAUUAGAUACCCUUGUAGUU
Molecule: ribosomal RNA, 460 nt
Filed under: uncultured bacterium
Lineage: Bacteria
Description: partial 16S ribosomal RNA
Rfam family: Bacterial small subunit ribosomal RNA
Source: RNAcentral